RNAcentral lists this ribosomal RNA (333 nucleotides) under Triticum aestivum (bread wheat). RNAcentral's name for it is "partial small subunit ribosomal RNA". The record is from RNAcentral. Lineage: Eukaryota; Viridiplantae; Streptophyta; Magnoliopsida; Poales; Poaceae.
AUGCUUGAUGUCAUCUUCACAACCCCCAUCCAGGAUCUUGCUGGUUUGCCUUCGUCACCCCAACGCUACACCAUGUUUAUUUGGUUUCUGAUGACCUCCCGUGCGACAUUGCUGGUAUGUUUUGCCUUCCUGCUGUGCUUGCAAGCAUUUGGCAUCUACUGCAAUCUUGAGAUGAUGCAUGUGCUGCCUAAUUUUCUACUACUAAAUCACAAAGCCAUGUUCCGAUUACUGGCAACAAGAAUCAACACGAUAACUCAUUCUGUUACAUGCUCUAAACUAUUUUAUUGGAGUUUGCUAAUUCCAUGUACUGGAAGCAAUAGCCUACAAAUUUGA